RNAcentral lists this ribosomal RNA (303 nucleotides) under uncultured bacterium. Its description in RNAcentral is "partial 16S ribosomal RNA". It matches the Rfam family "Bacterial small subunit ribosomal RNA", at positions 507 to 808 of the family's 1533-position model. The record is from RNAcentral.
AGCAGUAGCCGCGGGAAUACAGAGGGUGCGAGCGUUAAUCGGAUUUACUGGGCGUAAAGCGUGCGUAGGCGGCUUUUUAAGUCGGAUGUGAAAUCCCUGAGCUUAACUUAGGAAUUGCAUUCGAUACUGGAAGCUAGAGUAUGGGAGAGGAUGGUAGAAUUCCAGGUGUAGCGGUGAAAUGCGUAGAGAUCUGGAGGAAUACCGAUGGCGAAGGCAGCCAUCUGGCCUAAUACUGACGCUGAGGUACGAAAGCAUGGGGAGCAAACAGGAUUAGAUACCCCCGUAGUCCCUGUCUCUUAUACA